This 433-nucleotide ribosomal RNA is filed under the name uncultured bacterium. RNAcentral's name for it is "partial 16S ribosomal RNA". It matches the Rfam family "Bacterial small subunit ribosomal RNA", at positions 29 to 507 of the family's 1533-position model. The record is from RNAcentral.
AACGAACGCUGGCGGCAUGCCUAACACAUGCAAGUCGAACGAGACCUUCGGGUCUAGUGGCGCACGGGUGCGUAACGCGUGGGAACCUGCCCUUAGGUUCGGAAUAACUCCCCGAAAGGGGUGCUAAUACCGGAUAAUGUCUUCGGACCAAAGAUUUAUCGCCUUUGGAUGGGCCCGCGUUGGAUUAGCUAGUUGGUAGGGUAAAAGCCUACCAAGGCGACGAUCCAUAGCUGGUCUGAGAGGAUGAUCAGCCACACUGGGACUGAGACACGGCCCAGACUCGUACGGGAGGCAGCAGUGGGGAAUAUUGGAGAAGGGGCGAAAGCCUGAUCCAGCAAUGCCGCGUGAGUGAUGAAGGCCUUAGGGUUGUAAAGCUGUUUUACCCGGGAUGAUAAUGACAGUACCGGGAGAAUAAGCGCCGGCUAACUCCGUG